UCCUCGUUUAGGCGAGGCAGUCUGUCCAGAGUGCUCCGAACUCUCGUCCGGGUGGCAACAGGACAAGGGUUGCGCUCGUUGCGGGACUUAACCCAACAUCUCACGACACGAGCUGACGACAACCAUGCACCACCUGUGCAGGGCCCCGAAGGAGCACCGGCUUUCACCGGCUUCACCCUGCAUGUCAAGCCCUGGUAAGGUUCUUCGCGUUGCGUCGAAUUGAGCCACAUGCUCCGCCGCUUGUGCGGGCCCCCGUCAAUUCCUUUGAGUUUUAACCUUGCGGCCGUACUCCCCAGGCGGAUGACUUAACGCGUUAGCUGCGCCACCGAAACGCUAAGCGCUCCGACAGCUAGUCAUCAUCGUUUACGGCGUGGACUAC
This 379-nucleotide unclassified non-coding RNA is filed under the name uncultured bacterium. Its description in RNAcentral is "contains 16S-23S intergenic spacer region". The record is from RNAcentral.